Molecule: ribosomal RNA, 253 nt
Filed under: uncultured bacterium
Lineage: Bacteria
Description: partial 16S ribosomal RNA
Rfam family: Bacterial small subunit ribosomal RNA
Source: RNAcentral
GACGAACCGUCCAAACGUUAUUCGGAAUUACUGGGCUUAAAGGGUGCGUAGGCGGCGCGGAAAGUUGGGUGUGAAAUCCCUCGGCUCAACCGAGGAACUGCGCCCAAUACUGCCGUGCUCGAGGGAGAUAGAGGUGAGCGGAACUUAGGGUGGAGCGGUGAAAUGCGUUGAUAUCCUAAGGAACACCGGUGGCGAAAGCGGCUCACUGGAUCUCUUCUGACGCUGAGGCACGAAAGCUAGGGUAGCGAACGGG